ACUCAAAUGCAGCCCAAUCACAGGCACAAUCAGGAGGAUGUGCUUGUUAAUUUUAUGGUUUGCAAUUCUAUAGUUUUUUGACUCGGUUUUAUAUUUUGCUUUUGACAACAAAUAUUAUCUGUAAAGUUCUUUGUUGACUUUGGUAAAAUUUGAUUUUUUUUUUGUUUUUGGUGUUUGUUGAAGUUGGACACAGGUUGUCAUCCUAGUUGCGUAAGACUUUUAGUAUGUUUUCACUUAUUUGUAUCAGUCUCUAGACCUAUGCAAUUUAGCAGCCCCCUUAUGGAACAAGUCUUUUUAAGUGCAUGUUAUCAGUUUUGUAAUCAGAAAUUUUGGUUGGACGUUCUUGAGUGAGUAAUGG
This 358-nucleotide unclassified non-coding RNA is filed under the name Hevea brasiliensis (rubber tree). Lineage: Eukaryota; Viridiplantae; Streptophyta; Magnoliopsida; Malpighiales; Euphorbiaceae. The record is from RNAcentral.